AAGGCCCUGUGUCCAGUCUCUGUACAUGUUAGAUUGUUUCCUUCCGUACGGUUUACUAGUACAGACAAUAUAGAAGACCCCAUCUUUAACCCAACGAGCCACUCAACCCUUGAGUUAAACGAACAAGCAACAGACAACAUCCACCAACACGCAACAGACGUCAACAUCACACGGGAGGGGAUCAAGAUCAGAUACUCAGGUCUGUAUUACGUGUACAGUAACGUUAACUUUAAACCUAACUCGACUCGUUAUUCUUCCGAAUUUCAUUAUCAGACGUGGUUCCAAUACGUCCACAGACACUCAGUCACCAACCCAGUGUUAUCAGGUGUCUUGUUGAGGACAGUUCACACCUGUUGUAGCAACUGUACAGGUAGUCAGGAGACGGCUUA
Molecule: long non-coding RNA, 389 nt
Organism: Physella acuta
Lineage: Eukaryota; Metazoa; Mollusca; Gastropoda; Physidae
Source: RefSeq, a predicted model, not a curated record